Papaver somniferum (opium poppy) is the source of this 635-nucleotide long non-coding RNA. RefSeq lists it as uncharacterized. NCBI's taxonomy places the organism in Eukaryota, Viridiplantae, Streptophyta, Magnoliopsida, Ranunculales, Papaveraceae. The transcript has 3 exons. The record is from RefSeq and is a predicted model, not a curated record.
UAUGAGGCAGAUUAAGCUAGCUUUUGUGGACUUCAACAAUUUCCCGAAUGAUUAAAAAUUUCUAAGACGAGUUGUUAGCAGGAGUUAUCUUCACAUUGUGCAAGGUUCUAAGAGAUAGAACACAGCCUCUAUCAAGACCUGGCAGUACUCGACUGUGGAAGCUGGGGAUUACUUGGGAGAAGAUAAACUAAAAGUGAGCACUGGAAAAUUUGUUACAGGAUUUAGUGAAAAAAGUAUUCUAAAUUCAUCAGCAUCCCCAAACCACGAAGUAGAUGGUGAAGUUCACGCAGAUGAAGGUCAAGGCCAAGGUGAAUCACAUAUGUACUUGCUCACAUCACUUUUAAUUGAAGGUUGUGCCCGGACAGUCAACUUAUAAGAAUGAGUUCAGCUAAAAAACCUGGGGAACUCUAACCAAUUACGUGAAUUGCGUUUGUCAGUAUAAAUGCUUCUUAUCACUGUUGUGGUGGUUGAAAGUGAAUGUCAACCGUAUUAUCUACAAUAGUUAAACUUUGUUCGCUCUAUGAAGCUCCCAGCAACUAUAUACCCGGGCGUUGUUUUUUUUGUUUAUGCACUAUUCUCCACCUUAUUCAUUUUCUAUAAUUUUACACGGAACCUUAAGUAUGUAGUAUACAAAC